AGGCAAGUGUCAAGGAAUGUUAUAUAAACCAAUUAUGGAACUCUCCCAACAACUCGAGUUGUUUGAGGUGUAGGAUUUCGGUACAUGGGUUUAGAGCCUUUGACAAACAGGGUAUUGGUACCGAAUCCUGUUGACACUCAAUAAAACCAUUUAUCUUGUACAAGGGUUGGUGGACCUGUUCCAACUUCAAUGUCCUUGGGAUUUUGUAUGGGGGCGUGUUAAGAGAUGUUAUAUAAACCAAUUAUAACCCCUCGUAACAACUCGAGUUAUUAGAAACUACUGAUUCUCAACAGUAAGGAAUACAUGACAGGAGUUACCCAAAGCCAUUGCCACUCCAUAAGGAUCCUUCAUAGCUAUCUCUGAGAUAAUCUC
RNAcentral lists this long non-coding RNA (372 nucleotides) under Linum usitatissimum (flax). RNAcentral's name for it is "long non-coding RNA (LUSI_LNC001323)". The record is from RNAcentral. Lineage: Eukaryota; Viridiplantae; Streptophyta; Magnoliopsida; Malpighiales; Linaceae.